AUCAGGCUUCUACGUUGGUGACUGCCUUUCAAGUUUUUUGAUCUAUGCUUGAUUGUGAUAAGGGAGCAAGUAACCAAUCCGUGUGGUAGUAAACCGAGCUUGUACUCGGAAACAGAAACGCGGAAUAUAAGUUCCCACCUGGUUAACCCAGGUCAUAAACUUAGGUAAAACGGCGUAGCGGUCUUUUC
This is a non-coding RNA of Microcystis aeruginosa NIES-843, 188 nucleotides long. NCBI's taxonomy places the organism in Bacteria, Bacillati, Cyanobacteriota, Cyanophyceae, Chroococcales, Microcystaceae. The record is from Rfam.